This 492-nucleotide ribosomal RNA is filed under the name uncultured bacterium. RNAcentral describes it as "partial 16S ribosomal RNA". It matches the Rfam family "Bacterial small subunit ribosomal RNA", at positions 29 to 507 of the family's 1533-position model. The record is from RNAcentral.
AGUGAACGCUGGCGGUAGGCCUAACACAUGCAAGUCGAACGGCAGCACAGUAAGAGCUUGCUCUUACGGGUGGCGAGUGGCGGACGGGUGAGGAAUACACCGGAAUCUACUUUUUCGUGGGGGAUAACAUAGGGAAACUUACGCUAAUACCGCAUACGACCUACGGGUGAAAGCAGGCGAUCUUCGGACUUUGCGCGAUUGAAUGAGCCGAUGUCGGAUUAGUUAGUUGGCGGGGUAAAGGCCCACCACGGCGACUAUCCGUAUAUGGUAUGAGAGGAUGAUCAGCCAGAUGGGAAGUGAGACACGGUCCAGACUCCGACAGGGGGCAGCAGUCGGGAAUAUUGGACAAGGGGGGAGAGCCGGAUCCAGCCAUACCGGGUGAGUGAAGAAGGCCUUCGGGUGGGAGAGCGCUGUUGUUGGGAGAGAAGAGCAGCAGGUUAAUACCCCGCGGUUCUGACGGUACCGAAAGAAUAAGCACCGGCUAACUUCGUG